GGACUACUGGGGUAUCUAAUCCUGUUUGCUCCCCACGCUUUCGUGCCUCAGUGUCAGGAAUUUCCCAGAAAGGCGCCUUCGCCGCCGGCCUUCCCCCAGAUAUCUGCGCAUUUCACCGCUACACCUGGAGUUCCCCUUUCCCCUGAAAUCCUCAAGUCACGCAGUAUAAGGCGCAAUUCCCCGGGUAAGCCGAGGGCUUUCACACCUUACUUACGAAACCACCUACGCACCCUUUAAGCCCAGUGACACCGAACAACGUUCGCCCCUCACGUAUUACCGCGGCUGCUGGCAC
RNAcentral lists this ribosomal RNA (292 nucleotides) under uncultured bacterium. RNAcentral describes it as "partial 16S ribosomal RNA". The record is from RNAcentral.